Bos taurus (domestic cattle) is the source of this 379-nucleotide long non-coding RNA. The record is from Ensembl. Lineage: Eukaryota; Metazoa; Chordata; Mammalia; Artiodactyla; Bovidae.
UGAAGAUGAAGCACCUCAUUUGGAGGACUUGGGGAGGCACAGUCAAGAAGGAGUCUCCAGGGACCUCCCUGGUGGUCCCAUGGCUAAGACUCUGCGCUCCCAAGGCAGGAGGCCUGGGUUCGAUCCCUGGUCGGGGAACUAUGAUUCCACACGCUGCAGCUAAGACUUGCCACAGCCAAAUAAAUAAAAAUGAAUACUGAAAACAAGACUAAGUCUCCAAACAUGGCUGCUUCCUGUGGGUGAUGGUGGGCCCCUCAGAGGUUCCAUCAGAAAACCCGGCCGUGAACUUCUCAGAAGCCUGGAGGAUGGUGGAGAAGAAGACUAUGUCGGGGAAAUAGAAACUGGAAGACGUCAUUGUCCAUGUCCCACUUGGGCCAGG